UAUCUGGAGAAGAGGCACUUGAUUGUGCAUAAUUGAAUCCUACUCCAGCCUUUUGAGGAACGAAAAGCUUGUUGCCACUGGAUACCUCAGUCUUUAGUGAGCUUGGGGAGUAAAGUGCAUUAGUUAAGUUUGAAGAGAUAUCCAUAAGAGAGACUUCGUCUUCAAAAGAGGAAACAUUCUCCCCUUGUUUAAAUGCAGAAAUAACUGAGCUUUGAGCUUCAGCCUGAUGAAUGCCUUUUCAGUUUCGGACAGAUUUUCUACUGGGACAUACUCACAUUCAGAGAUCAGCCCUGUCAAUUGUCCCACAGUAUUGAAGACCACGCCAGUUUUCUGUUGAGAAUGAGGAGGGAGGUACAGGUGCCUCCUCGAUUCAAGUUCACAAGUUCGAGCAUGCUCCACAGUUACUUCCCACAUCUUUGUAGACAUACCUGAGCC
Non-coding RNA from Lupinus albus (white lupine), 435 nucleotides. NCBI's taxonomy places the organism in Eukaryota, Viridiplantae, Streptophyta, Magnoliopsida, Fabales, Fabaceae. The record is from the annotation of a GenBank genome assembly.